GUUUUGUUCUUCCUUCCAGCGACUGCUCUGACAGCUUUGACGAUAUUUGACACACAGUAGCAGGCAGAAGCUGGGGAGUUGCUCCACAAACGUUGUUGCACACAUCACUCACUGAGGCCGGAGAGACAUUGGUAACAAGCACACAGUGCAGGUGAAGCUGGAGUUGGCCACAGAGCCCAGCUGAGGAAGGAACAUCAGAAGGUUUCACCCACGACUGGAUGGUGUUUGUCCAAGGGCCAGAGACUGGCGACAUCCAGCACUUUGUAGAGAAAAUUGUCUUCUGCCUUCAUGGCAGCUACCCCAGAGAGUAUGCAUGGGGCCUCCGUACAAAGUGGAGGAGACAGGCUCCGCAGGCUUCUUCAUGGAUAUCGACAUUUUCUUAAAGAACAAGGUGAAAUGGGGAGCCAAAUACGGUGUGUUUCAAAUAUGACCUGUUUCUUAACUUGGAGGGCGACCCCCCGUCAGCCACCUGCGCUAUGAGAAGCUUACCUUCAACAACCCCACCAGAGACUUCAGGAGAAAGCUGGUGAAAGCUGGAGGGGAAAUGGUGGUUCUAGAGGCCAAGGCCCAGUUCAGGUUCCCCGAUCCCUCCUCAAGACCUCUCAUGUAUCAGAGGAACCCAGCAAAGACAAAGGAGGUAGUGGUGGAGCACCAUGAAUGAUCCCUGAAAGACCAAAGUAACCUCGAAAGGGGACAAAAACAGAGGUGGAAGAGGCAGCGAGAGUUGUUUGUUUACAUCUAUAAACAGCACAUGCAGGCUGAGCCACAGCAUUUCCUAUGCAAAUAGACGUGUGCCUCCAUUCACAUGAUCUUACUUUCACAACAGUAGAAUAUCCUUUACGAAGAAAGGCCGAGGUGUUCUCUACAUGUAAAUGUUAAACAGUGACCUCCUGUGGUCUGAAGAGGGAACCAGAGUGUAAUGUUAUAUCAGAAUGAAAUCUUUAAAUAAUGACUUAUUUAUUAACCAGAUUUAACAGCUACAGUUAUGCCAUCACUUGUAUACAUAAAGCUGAAAACUAAUGGUGUUCAGUAUCAUUUCCAGAGAACUGAAGGGAUUUUUUUUCAUACUCUCUAAAAGAUGGAAAGGAGUUCUGUGAAUCUGCACUCGAUUGCUCUUCCUCAAGGACCGGAUGUGUGUCUCUGUAAAAUGAAAUUGAAUGUGGAUGUACUGUACAGCUGAUUUUUCAGUGAAGAUCAAAUUCAGUUCCAAGCCAAUUAAUUUAUUCUUCAAUUAUGGUGAUCAGAUUCAGUUUUCCUGUGCAAAGUUUAACAAUUGAAAUUCAAAGUGUGUGACUUCAAAUCAGUGUUUUAAUGUGGUUAUUCAAGUUGAGCAAUUCAAAAUCAAACAUGAAUGACUCACAUUCUGUUUCUAGUCACACAUAUUUCUGCCCAUAUGGGUUUCAAAGACUUUCCAGAUUGCUACCAAAAGUCCAAGCCCAACUGAUGGGUUUCGUGCCAAGAAAUUAAUCAAAAGCGGAAGAAAGCUAAGACAACACUCCAGCCAUCUUACAGUUACAUGUGUAUUUAUUUACAGAAAUGUCUUUUGCCCAAAUUUUGUUUGUUUAGUGUUAUAUUUAUUUGCUUUUUUAUUUAUUUCCUGCAAGUUAGUACACAAUUUCAGUAUACUGUAAUUUUUGUUAUCCUGUAAAAUGAUGAUGAAUAAGCAUCUUAAUAUAUAUAUAUAUAUAUAUAUAUAUAUCUUGAUUGGUUUAUGUUUUUAUAAAUCGUAUGUGCUGACACAUUUUAAAACACAUUUGUUACAAACUGUAAUAAAACUGUAUAUUUUAUGUGUAAAACCCGUCUGUCUCUCCCCAUAUUAUUGAAAAGGAGGAUUUAAAGGUUGAUGUCUCAAUACAAGCCUGACACCCUCCUGUCUUGACAGCCAGGUGGGACUUUCUUCUACUCAGAUUUGACUAAGAGGGAGACUGGAUCAGUUUUGAGCGGCAGGAGAAGAAGGGGGGAGGCACCGAGCCAGUGAGAGAGUGGUGACCUUCUGUCCCAGAGCUGAGGCCUGAUAAUCUGACAUCAAAGUCUGAGCACAGCAGAGAUCUGACUGCAAUGGGCCCUCACUCUCUGACUCUGGAGAAAAGAGACGUCUUCAACCAGAAGACGUACGGCUUUCUUUCUAGAUGAAAUGUUUGAAAUGGAACCAGAGGCUCUUUAAGCUCAUUAAGGCUUCCUGUGGAGUUAGGGAUAGGGAUUCAUACAUAUGUCUUUACUCAUGUGAACCCGGAGAUUUUUCUUUCAAUUGAUGUGUUACAAAUAAUGGAAUACAAAGGAAUAAGCUUCUCACGCAGGCUACCACGUGUUGCUCGCACAGAGGAGGAAAACAGCUUUUUGUUUGCUUUAACUUGUUUUACUGACACUCAAAUGUUUGCUCUUCAUCAGUGG
Molecule: long non-coding RNA, 2391 nt
Organism: Lates calcarifer (barramundi perch)
Lineage: Eukaryota; Metazoa; Chordata; Actinopteri; Centropomidae
Exons: 6
Source: RefSeq, a predicted model, not a curated record